This 511-nucleotide ribosomal RNA is filed under the name uncultured bacterium. RNAcentral describes it as "partial 16S ribosomal RNA". The record is from RNAcentral.
GGAGUUAGCCGGUGCUUCUUCUGCGAGUAACGUCACAGAUGUAAGGUAUUAACUUACACCCUUUCCUCCUCGCUGAAAGUGCUUUACAACCCGAAGGCCUUCUUCACACACGCGGCAUGGCUGCAUCAGGGUUUCCCCCAUUGUGCAAUAUUCCCCACUGCUGCCUCCCGUAGGAGUCUGGGCCGUGUCUCAGUCCCAGUGUGGCUGAUCAUCCUCUCAGACCAGCUAGGGAUCGUCGCCUAGGUGAGCCUUUACCUCACCUACUAGCUAAUCCCACCUGGGCUUAUCCAUCAGCGCAAGGCCCGAAGGUCCCCUGCUUUCCCCCGUAGGGCGUAUGCGGUAUUAGCAGUCGUUUCCAACUGUUAUCCCCCACAAAUGGGCAAAUUCCCAGGCAUUACUCACCCGUCCGCCACUCGUCAUCUUCAAAAGCAAGCUUUUGAAAUGUUACCGCUCGACUUGCAUGUGUUAGGCCUGCCGCCAGCGUUCAAUCUGAGCCAUAAUCAAACUCUGA